UACGGAGGGGGCUAGCGUUGUUCGGAAUUACUGGGCGUAAAGCGCGCGUAGGCGGUCCUGCAAGUCGGGGGUGAAAGCCCGAGGCUCAACCUCGGAACUGCCUUCGAUACUGCGGGUCUCGAGUCCGGGAGAGGUGAGUGGAAUUCCUAGUGUAGAGGUGAAAUUCGUAGAUAUUAGGAAGAACACCAGUGGCGAAGGCGGCGCACUGGCCCGGUACUGACGCUGAGGCGCGAAAGCGUGGGGAGCAAACAGG
RNAcentral lists this ribosomal RNA (253 nucleotides) under uncultured bacterium. RNAcentral describes it as "partial 16S ribosomal RNA". It matches the Rfam family "Bacterial small subunit ribosomal RNA", at positions 524 to 776 of the family's 1533-position model. The record is from RNAcentral.